UCAGCUCGUGUUGUGAAAUGUUGGGUUAAGUCCCGCAACGAGCGCAACCCUUAUCCUUUGUUGCCAGCGGUCCGGCCGGGAACUCAAAGGAGACUGCCAGUGAUAAACUGGAGGAAGGUGGGGAUGACGUCAAGUCAUCAUGGCCCUUACGACCAGGGCUACACACGUGCUACAAUGGCGCAUACAAAGAGAAGCGACCUCGCGAGAGCAAGCGGACCUCAUAAAGUGCGUCGUAGUCCGGAUUGGAGUCUGCAACUCGACUCCAUGAAGUCGGAAUCGCUAGUAAUCGUGGAUCAGAAUGCCACGGUGAAUACGUUCCCGGGCCUUGUACACACCGCCCGUCACACCAUGGGAGUGGGUUGCAAAAGAAGUAGGUAGCUUAACCUUCGGGAGGGCGCUUACCACUUUGUGAUUCAUGACUGGGGUGAAGUCGUAACAAGGUAACCGUAGGGGAACCUGCGGUUGGAUCACCUCCUU
This 477-nucleotide ribosomal RNA is filed under the name Escherichia coli. RNAcentral's name for it is "bacterial SSU rRNA". It matches the Rfam family "Bacterial small subunit ribosomal RNA", at positions 1055 to 1532 of the family's 1533-position model. The record is from RNAcentral. Lineage: Bacteria; Pseudomonadati; Pseudomonadota; Gammaproteobacteria; Enterobacterales; Enterobacteriaceae.